RNAcentral lists this transfer RNA (70 nucleotides) under Granulicella mallensis. Its description in RNAcentral is "tRNA-OTHER". The record is from RNAcentral. Lineage: Bacteria; Pseudomonadati; Acidobacteriota; Terriglobia; Terriglobales; Acidobacteriaceae.
GGCUUAGAUACUUUGCCAAGCAGCCCUGAAAAGGCCGGCGUCGGCGGUUCGAUCCCGUCUCUGGCCACCA